This 253-nucleotide ribosomal RNA is filed under the name uncultured bacterium. Its description in RNAcentral is "partial 16S ribosomal RNA". It matches the Rfam family "Bacterial small subunit ribosomal RNA", at positions 524 to 776 of the family's 1533-position model. The record is from RNAcentral.
UACAGAGGUCCCAAGCGUUGUUCGGAUUCACUGGGCGUAAAGGGUGCGUAGGCGGUCGGGUAAGUCUGAUGUGAAAUCUCACAGCUUAACUGUGAAACUGCAUUGGAUACUAUCCGGCUCGAGGAAUGGAGGGGAGACUGGAAUACUUGGUGUAGCAGUGAAAUGCGUAGAUAUCAAGUGGAACACCAGUGGCGAAGGCGGCUCUCUGGGCAGAUACUGACACUGAGACGCGAAAGCGUGGGUAGCAAACAGG